AGCUCCAAUAGCGUAUAUUAAAGUUGUUGCAGUUAAAAAGCUCGUAGUUGAACCUUGGACAAAGUGCGCGUGGUCUACCGCAAGGUACGACUGCGGCGCUGCGUCUCUUUAGGGGGACUCGAUGCUUCGGUGUCGAGGUAACCCGUGUUACUGUGAAGAAAUUAGAGUGUUUAAAGCAGGCUAUCGCUUGAAUACAUCAGCAUGGAAUAACAAGUUGGACUUUGCUCCUACUUGUUGGUUUGAGGGGAAAAGUAAUGAUUAAUAGGGCCAGUUGGGGGCAUUAGUAUUCAGUAGUCAGAGGUGAAAUUCUUGGAUUUACUGAAGACUAACUAGUGCGAAAGCAUUUGCCAAGGAUGUUUUCA
Molecule: ribosomal RNA, 362 nt
Filed under: uncultured fungus
Lineage: Eukaryota; Fungi
Description: SSU rRNA
Rfam family: Eukaryotic small subunit ribosomal RNA
Source: RNAcentral